ACUAAGCGUACACGGUGGAUGCCCUGGCAGUCAGAGGCGAUGAAGGACGUGCUAAUCUGCGAUAAGCGUCGGUAAGGUGAUAUGAACCGUUAUAACCGGCGAUUUCCGAAUGGGGAAACCCAGUGUGAUUCGUCACACUAUCAUUAACUGAAUCCAUAGGUUAAUGAGGCGAACCGGGGGAACUGAAACAUCUAAGUACCCGAGGAAAAGAAAUCAACCGAGAUUCCCCCAGUAGCGGCGAGCGAACGGGGAGCAGCCCAGAGCCUGAAUCAGUGUGUGUGUUAGUGGAAGCGUCUGGAAAGGCGUGCGAUACAGGGUGACAGCCCCGUACACAAAAAUGCACAUAUUGUGAGCUCGAUGAGUAGGGCGGGACACGUGGUAUCCUGUCUGAAUAUGGGGGGACCAUCCUCCAAGGCUAAAUACUCCUGACUGACCGAUAGUGAACCAGUACCGUGAGGGAAAGGCGAAAAGAACCCCGGCGAGGGGAGUGAAAAAGAACCUGAAACCGUGUACGUACAAGCAGUGGGAGCACGCUUAGGCGUGUGACUGCGUACCUUUUGUAUAAUGGGUCAGCGACUUAUAUUCUGUAGCAAGGUUAACCGAAUAGGGGAGCCGAAGGGAAACCGAGUCUUAACUGGGCGUUAAGUUGCAGGGUAUAGACCCGAAACCCGGUGAUCUAGCCAUGGGCAGGUUGAAGGUUGGGUAACACUAACUGGAGGACCGAACCGACUAAUGUUGAAAAAUUAGCGGAUGACUUGUGGCUGGGGGUGAAAGGCCAAUCAAACCGGGAGAUAGCUGGUUCUCCCCGAAAGCUAUUUAGGUAGCGCCUCGUGAAUUCAUCUCCGGGGUAGAGCACUGUUUCGGCAAGGGGUCAUCCCGACUUACCAACCCGAUGCAAACUGCGAAUACCGGAGAAUGUUAUCACGGGAGACACACGGCGGGUGCUAACGUCCGUCGUGAAGAGGGAAACAACCCAGACCGCCAGCUAAGGUCCCAAAGUCAUGGUUAAGUGGGAAACGAUGUGGGAAGGCCCAGACAGCCAGGAUGUUGGCUUAGAAGCAGCCAUCAUUUAAAGAAAGCGUAAUAGCUCACUGGUCGAGUCGGCCUGCGCGGAAGAUGUAACGGGGCUAAACCAUGCACCGAAGCUGCGGCAGCGACACUAUGUGUUGUUGGGUAGGGGAGCGUUCUGUAAGCCUGUGAAGGUGUACUGUGAGGUAUGCUGGAGGUAUCAGAAGUGCGAAUGCUGACAUAAGUAACGAUAAAGCGGGUGAAAAGCCCGCUCGCCGGAAGACCAAGGGUUCCUGUCCAACGUUAAUCGGGGCAGGGUGAGUCGACUCCUAAGGCGAGGCCGAAAGGCGUAGUCGAUGGGAAACAGGUUAAUAUUCCUGUACUUGGUGUUACUGCGAAGGGGGGACGGAGAAGGCUAUGUUGGCCGGGCGACGGUUGUCCCGGUUUAAGCGUGUAGGCUGGUUUUCCAGGCAAAUCCGGAAAACUAAGGCUGAGGCGUGAUGACGAGGCACUACGGUGCUGAAGCAACAAAUGCCCUGCUUCCAGGAAAAGCCUCUAAGCAUCAGGUAACAUCAAAUCGUACCCCAAACCGACACAGGUGGUCAGGUAGAGAAUACCAAGGCGCUUGAGAGAACUCGGGUGAAGGAACUAGGCAAAAUGGUGCCGUAACUUCGGGAGAAGGCACGCUGAUAUGUAGGUGAAGUCCCUCGCGGAUGGAGCUGAAAUCAGUCGAAGAUACCAGCUGGCUGCAACUGUUUAUUAAAAACACAGCACUGUGCAAACACGAAAGUGGACGUAUACGGUGUGACGCCUGCCCGGUGCCGGAAGGUUAAUUGAUGGGGUCAGCGCAAGCGAAGCUCUUGAUCGAAGCCCCGGUAAACGGCGGCCGUAACUAUAACGGUCCUAAGGUAGCGAAAUUCCUUGUCGGGUAAGUUCCGACCUGCACGAAUGGCGUAAUGAUGGCCAGGCUGUCUCCACCCGAGACUCAGUGAAAUUGAACUCGCUGUGAAGAUGCAGUGUACCCGCGGCAAGACGGAAAGACCCCGUGAACCUUUACUAUAGCUUGACACUGAACAUUGAGCCUUGAUGUGUAGGAUAGGUGGGAGGCUUUGAAGUGUGGACGCCAGUCUGCAUGGAGCCGACCUUGAAAUACCACCCUUUAAUGUUUGAUGUUCUAACGUUGACCCGUAAUCCGGGUUGCGGACAGUGUCUGGUGGGUAGUUUGACUGGGGCGGUCUCCUCCUAAAGAGUAACGGAGGAGCACGAAGGUUGGCUAAUCCUGGUCGGACAUCAGGAGGUUAGUGCAAUGGCAUAAGCCAGCUUGACUGCGAGCGUGACGGCGCGAGCAGGUGCGAAAGCAGGUCAUAGUGAUCCGGUGGUUCUGAAUGGAAGGGCCAUCGCUCAACGGAUAAAAGGUACUCCGGGGAUAACAGGCUGAUACCGCCCAAGAGUUCAUAUCGACGGCGGUGUUUGGCACCUCGAUGUCGGCUCAUCACAUCCUGGGGCUGAAGUAGGUCCCAAGGGUAUGGCUGUUCGCCAUUUAAAGUGGUACGCGAGCUGGGUUUAGAACGUCGUGAGACAGUUCGGUCCCUAUCUGCCGUGGGCGCUGGAGAACUGAGGGGGGCUGCUCCUAGUACGAGAGGACCGGAGUGGACGCAUCACUGGUGUUCGGGUUGUCAUGCCAAUGGCACUGCCCGGUAGCUAAAUGCGGAAGAGAUAAGUGCUGAAAGCAUCUAAGCACGAAACUUGCCCCGAGAUGAGUUCUCCCUGACUCCUUGAGAGUCCUGAAGGAACGUUGAAGACGACGACGUUGAUAGGCCGGGUGUGUAAGCGCAGCGAUGCGUUGAGCUAACCGGUACUAAUGAACCGUGAGGCUUAACC
Molecule: ribosomal RNA, 2889 nt
Filed under: Shigella dysenteriae
Lineage: Bacteria; Pseudomonadati; Pseudomonadota; Gammaproteobacteria; Enterobacterales; Enterobacteriaceae
Description: bacterial LSU rRNA
Rfam family: Bacterial large subunit ribosomal RNA
Source: RNAcentral